AGAGCCGGUAAAGACCGAUGGGUGGUCCUCCCCUCGGAAGGCAGCAGACUAGAGCCAGCUACCCGAAGAACCUGACCAGCCAAGGCGACUUCGUAACACCAUGGUGGGGUUCCCUCCAAACUGGCCCCAAAGACCACCCUGCAGCAAAGCCACCUGGAAGCUCAGGGCCUCUUAUCAUCAUCCUAGCGACACUCUGACGUUUGAGAGAUAUUUUAACAUGAAAUAUAUACUUUAAUAUGGAAACAUCCCCUAUGGUUUUAUUAACAGUAUCAGAAGAUGAAAAGAGAGCGCGUCCAUAAAGCAGGCCGCUCAAGAAAUCUUUUCAAGGAAUAUGUGGGAAAUGAAAGAUCUGGAAACAAAAGCAGCUCCUGAAAUUAAUAAUAUAAAAGCAGAAAACUUUCAAGUUCAAUAAAAGAGUUAGAAGACUAAGUAGAAAAAACUGUGUGACCAGGCCAUGCCUGUG
Molecule: long non-coding RNA, 463 nt
Filed under: Capra hircus (goat)
Lineage: Eukaryota; Metazoa; Chordata; Mammalia; Artiodactyla; Bovidae
Description: lncRNA (ENSCHIG00010014691.1)
Source: RNAcentral